UGCUCUCUUUUUUCUCAUUUUCCCUUUUCUUCUUCUAGAAGGCGUUCAUGGUUAUGAAGCUGUUGGCAAUCUGUUAGUUAAGACAACAUUCCCAUAAAUUUACCCCUUUUCUGAAAGAGAGAAACAAUGACUUCGGAGGGUAGUUCGUCGUUGAAAGAGGAGUUAUCCGAUUCCGAUGGAAAACCAGUUAGUCGGAAUCCGAGUGAAGCCUCCAUUUACACCGAGGACGACGAAUCCAGCUCGGUCCUAAAUGUACAAUCAAGGAACAUCUCGAGAAAGAUAAGGAUGAUGAGAGCUUGAGGAAGUGGAAGGAACAACUCCUAGGAGGUGUGGAUGUGAACGCCAUUGAUGAGGCUCAAGAGCCAGAUGUGAAGAUCAUUAGCCUGAUGAUACGGAUACGGACGUCCCGUGAGGACGUCGGGUGUCCUCGGACGUGC
Long non-coding RNA from Salvia splendens (bonfire salvia), 437 nucleotides. RefSeq lists it as uncharacterized. The transcript is spliced from 4 exons. The record is from RefSeq and is a predicted model, not a curated record. NCBI's taxonomy places the organism in Eukaryota, Viridiplantae, Streptophyta, Magnoliopsida, Lamiales, Lamiaceae.